AUGCACCACGAGGGCGUUCACCAUCAGCAGUAUCUCCAUUAUAAAAACCACCACGACGGCCACCGCGACCACGAGGUCCACCAUAUCCACCACGUUUUUCUGUCGUCCUUCCAGUUUCUCCAUCUUCAGGGUUACUACUAAAUGAGUACUCAUUGUUGGGAGACUCGCGAUUAAAACCACCACUGCCACGUCCUCGUCCAUAUCCACGUCCACCACGGCCACUACUACGACCUCCACGACCACCUUCAUUCUUUGCUUCCCUUACUACUCAAAGUAUUAAAAAAGAUAAUUAAAAAAAAAUCCUUUCAGAUACCCAAUGGAUAAUUGAUAACAAUUGGACAGGAAUCAAGACACUCAUAAGAACCCAAUAGAAUAAGGAAGACUCUGUUGAUAAACAAUAGCGUAAUAUGGGCAAUAUGAUACAAGACAAAGCUAUGUUCAAAAUGGAAUAAAAAAUUGACUGCAGACUACCAAGUUCUAUAUUAAGAACCAGGAAUAUUUAAAAAUACAAUACAGAGACAAACCAGUUCUUUACAACAGCCCACGAUUUGGGUAUACAUGCAAAUAUUUGUUCACACAGUCCUACAAUUUUUUCCUCCAAAACAUGACUUCUUUAGAAAAAAAUGGAAAUUUCCAUCAAGAAAUCUACGAAGAAAUCAAAUAUAUCAAUUCCUCUUCAAGGUAAAUAUUGAAAACAAGAACCUUUCAUCAAGAAAUAAUACAAAAGAACACAUAUCAAGAGCCAACCAAAACAUUUCAAUUGAACUUGUGCAUAAAUUAUACCAAUUGGAUAUCGUCAAUAUAUAUAUAUAAUAUAUAGCAAUUGCAUAGUUCCUUUAUGAAUCUUAGUGGUUUCUUGUCCUUUGAACAUAUCUCAAGCCUUAAAAUCAAUAGAGUGCAAAACCUCCAUCAUUGAUCUAAAUUGUGAGCCUUCUAAGUUUGUCCUCUUGGGUCUAAUUUUGCUCAAAAGUGAGGUGAGUAAGCUUCCCUGUUCCCACCUUGGACUUCCCUUGGGGCCGGGGUAAUUGUAAUCAAAAUAAAUAGUUUGCCUUCUUGGGACCUACUGAAAAUUCAAAAACCACAGAGAAAUGCCUUUCUUAGGGGGAAAGCUGACAUCAAUCCAAUUAGUGUUGAGUAGGAUCCCAAUCUACCUUCCUUGCAUGCUUAGAAUGCUUGUCUCAAUCAGUAAGAAAAAUGAAAGAUUCAUAAGAAACAUCUCUUGUGGGAAGGAGUAAAUAAGGGUGGGGGAGGUUGUGUCAAAAUUAGUUGAUCUAGAGGGUUUAGGCAUUGGCAACCUGAGUUUGCAUAAUGAGACUCGUUAGCAAAAUGGUUGACAUUUUUUCAUGGAGCUGAAAGUCUGUAACACAUGCAUAGCCUUCUGAGCAACUAUGGACCAUAGCCUUCUAGGUGGAGUUCAAGUUGUAGUUUUAAAUAUUCUAGCGAACACCACCAGACUGUUAUUGCUUCGAGCUUUCCUUUGCUAAUUGUUAUCCCAGUUCAAACUAUUUAGUCUACUUGAUAUUUUAGGAUACUUGGGAGGGGGGAAAACCCAUUUCCACUCACUAUUCCUUUUUUCAUUUUUUUUUUAGGAAAAGAAAAAGUGAAAGUAAUGUCUAGCAGUUCUCCAUGAUAGCUUGGAAUAGUGAGCAUGCAGGACCAUCUACCAAGGCACUCAUCUUGAUCUUACUGUUGCAACUGUAAUGGACUAAUGGCAUUCUUUGCCGGAAGUUAGAGGAGAACCUCAACCAUCUCAUGUUGGAUUGCCCCUGUUGAACAGUUCUUUCUCAAAAAAAAUUGCUUUGAUUUGGCUCAUGUUUGGGGUGACCAAGGAAAUGCUUAUGAACCCCCCCUCCUUGUUGUGAAUCGUGAUAAAUGAAUAGUUAUGUGGCAGUAGCUGGCUAGCUAUUUUUGCCAUUUUAUGAAGUACUUGGUUGGAAAGGAACAAUAGGGAGUUGGUUAUAACUCUUCAUUAUGAACAUCCGUUAAUCAGGCUUUUGUGAUUACUAACUUGGUCUCAUUCUUCGAUUGGGUCCUUUCUCACUAUUAGGACUGGGAACUCUUUUUGCAGGGUUUUUGGUAUGCCCUAAUACAUUCUUCAUAUUUCUCAACGAAAGCUAGGUUCUUUUUUAAAAGACUUGUACAUAAGUUAUCAAAAUAUUCAAAUUUUUUCAAUUGCCACACACAAAGGAAAAAUGGCAUAAUAAGAAUAAAGAAAAUACUAUCUAAACAAUGUACAGACAAAAUUCAUAACCUAGUACGUUAUAAAAUCACAACAUUGCUGACUGACACUCGAAUUUCUUCCAAAAAAAAUUUUAAAAAAUAUUGAUAACUCAAUUCCAUUUAUGUUCCAAACAUACAAACCAUUGAAUAUUAUCUGAAUUCCAAAUAAAUUUGGAAUGCAGAGCCUUGGAUUGUAGGAAUACACAAUAAAUCCCAGCCGGGUAUCGCAAAAAGUAAUUAUAUAGCCUACAAAAUUUUGACUGAAUUAAAAAUCACUCAUUCCUACGUGUAUGUAUAUAUCUAACAUCACAAAGAAAGACUUCGCACUCUCCCAUAGGCGCAAACAAUGUAACCAUGCAAACAAGCAGACAAAAAACUUUAACAAAACAACAACAAAAAUCACGGAAUGCAAAACCAAUCAACCUAGACAGGAAAACAAAAGGAAGAAAACUAUACAUCAAAAUCGAACUCUGAUAUUUACACAAUCAAUAACCUCCAAUUCAAAAAAAAAAAAAAAAAAAAAAAGAGAAAGAAACUAACCAGCCUGAGCAGGCGGAAGAGGCUUGGAAGGAAGAUUAGCAGGUUUACUCAAUUUAGCUGCCGCAGCCGCCUGUUGUUUAGCCUGAGGAUGAUCAGAACCUUUCUUAGGCGCCGCCGCAGCCUGCUUGACAGCCAUUAGCUGCGAUGGGUCCUCAGCAUCGUCAUCACCCAACAAAUCAAAUGGAUUUGUGGUCGCCAUUUCCGAACUAUAUUAAAACCAAUACCGGAAAAGUUGAAAAGAAAUUGCACUCCGUGAAAGGCGACCACGAAAUCCUACCUUAACAACAAGAACUCCAUGAUGAAUCUAUGAAGAAUAUCUGUAAAAAGAGAGAGGAGAAAAGAAAAAAAGAUCGAAUCGAAAAGCGGUAGAAACUGGGAGAAAACCCUAGCCGCAAUGGCCGAGUGAGUGUAAGUGCAAACGAAGAGCCAACUCGAUAGAUAAACGCAUAUAGUUAUUUUGCGUUGUUCGACCGUUUCUAUAUAUCCUCCCUCGUGCGGUAUCGCAACAAUAUACUAUAACUUGGGGAAUUAUCAAAAAUAGGAUAAUUUGGAAGGAUGUAAAGAGUUUUGAGAUGAAUUUUAAAAAAGAUGACUUUUAGGACAAAUUAGUUGGAAAAAGUCUAUAUUACCCUCAAGUUAAAAAAUAUCCUAAAAUCAAUUUAUGAAUCCUCUCUUCUCCUUCUCCCUCCGUUUUUUCACUUUCUAAAAAUGUUUCAUUUUUCUCUCAUCCCUCCCUCUGGUGUUCCAUUUUCCCUCAUUUUCACGAAAUUUCCUUUUUCUUCCUUUUCCAUUCUUUAAUUCGUUUUCUUGAAAUUUCUUUCUGAAGCUCUUCCCAUGGUCUCCCACCGGCCUUUGAAAACCAUUUUCUCCAUUUUCUCACUUCCAAAAAGAAUAUUUCAUUUUUCUCUCAUCUCUCUCCAUUUUCAUACAUUGUGGGAUAAAUUGGCCUUCCUAAUUCUAAGAGCAUGAAAAUGUUGCUCUCACCUGCAUUGUUGUACAUUAUAUAAAAGUUCUGCACACUUUACAAUUUUCCAAGAUAAUGAAAUAAAAAUUGCAUACCAAAAAACAAAAAUGGUAUUCAUUCCAUUAUAUAAAACUAUUUAUGUACAUAGUUUGGAACAUAUACAAUUCCUUCAAAAGUUGGAACUAAAAGUCAAUACAUGGGAUUGUUGGUCCAUAAUUGAAAUGCCAAUUGUUUUCUAAAAUAUGACAUGUUUUCUUGACAUAAUGUAGCUACAUCUAAACCAGAAGCUUCAUAUUCGAAAUACUUAAUUGUAAAUACACCACAAUCACUAUUGUUGCGUUGAAGUGGAAUGGAGUCGACAAUGACAAGUGGCCAAGGUUCCUUGUGUGUUGAUGAUCCGCCUCUCCUAACAAAGAAUCCAGUAGCAUCGAGCAAAUUUGGCACCAUCUCUUGAAUUGGCUCUAAUAUGCUUCUCAUAUCUUCGGCACUCGUCAGCGACGGAAGCGAAUCCCAUACCUUAACUUGACAACGUACCAAGUCCAAGCAUAAUAGAAUCCAAUGAUUGCCAUGGAUAUUGAAUGGAGAGUAAAUGUAAUCAACAUUCACCCAAGGAUCUUGACAGUCUUGUUUUGAUCCGACAACAUAGUCAACCUGCUUACUAAAUGUGAUAAACUACUUACUAUAGACUGAAAAUGAUGAGCAGGGUCAAUCUUGUACAUGGGACCGUUAGUUGAUGUUGAAGCCAUACUGAAACCUGCAUAAAAAAAAACUAAUUAAAUAUAAUUGCAUAAGAGACUUACUAAACAUGGAUGCACUAGCAUCUUGGGACUUCUACUCAAAAUUUUGGAAGGUGAGAGAUAGGUGCGAGAUGCUGGAAAACUUCAAGGCAAAGUUGCUAAGUCUAAUAAAAUUGCUAACCCUAAAGCCUUAACACCUAGUAGAGUAGCUAAACAUGCAUUCUAAACGGUUUAGGAAGGUUAACACUCUCAUCUUGGGACUUCUACUCAAAAUUUUGGAAGGUGAGAGAUAGGUGCUGAUAGGUGCGAGAUGCUGGAAAACUUCAAGGCAAAGUUGCUAAGUCUAAUAAAAUUGCUAACCCUAAAGCCUUAACACCUAGUAGAGUAGCUAAACAUGCAUUCUAAACGGUUUAGGAAGGUUAACACUCUCAUCUUGGGACUUCUACUCAAAAUUUUGGAAGGUGAGAGAUAGGUGCUGAUAGGUGCGAGAUGCUGGAAAACUUCAAGGCAAAGUUGCUAAGUCUAAUAAAAUUGCUAACCCUAAAGCCUUAACACCUAGUAGAGUAGCUAAACAUGCAUUCUAAACGGUUUAGGAAGUUUACACUCUUAUAUUGGGACUUCUACUCAAAAUUUUGGAAGGUGCGAGAUAGGUGCUGAUAGGUGCGAGACGAUGGAAAACUUCAAGGCAAAGUUGCUAAGUCUAAUAAAAUUGCUAGCUAAACAUGCAUUCUAAACGGUUUAGGAAGUUAACACUCUUAUAUUAGGACUUCUACUCAAAAUUUUGGAAGGUGAGAGAUGAUAGGUGCGAGAUGAUGGAAAAUUUCAAGGCAAAGUUGCUAAGUCUAAUAAAAUUGCUAACCCUAAAGCCAUAACACCUAGUAGAGUAGCUAAACAUGCAUUCUAAACGGUUUAGGAAGGUUAACACUCUCAUCUUGGGACUUCUACUCAAAAUUUUGGAAGGUGCGAGAUAGGUGCUGAUAGGUACGAGAUGAUGGAAAAAUUCAAGGCAAAGUAGCUAAGUCUAAUAAAAUUGCUAACCCUAAAGCCUUAACACCUAGUAGACUACCUAGACUAGCUAAACAUGCAUUCUAAAGAUUGUAUUCUAUUGGAACUACAUCACUAAAAACAUUAACAAAGUAGAGAACAACAAUGCAGCUUAUGAUAAUGUCUUUCAACAAAUUGCAAAGGAAAUGGUCUUUCAACAAUGCAGCUUAUGAUAUUCUAUUGUACUGGUAGCUUUGCAGAGUUUAUAUGGGGUACCAAAUAUAUGUUCGAAUUCAAGUUCUAAACUCCAAGGUAUGGUUUUUCUAUUAUUACAGUACAUUGCAAAGGAAAUGAUGGAUACGGCACUGCCAACGUAGAGGAGUGGAUAAGAAAUGGAGAGGUCCGGUGAAAACAAACCUGAAAUCGAAAUGGAUGGAAGUGGAGAAGCGUCCGCCGGAGUUGAAGUCGAAAGUAAAACAGAGACACGUGCAAUGUCAGUAGUACGACUCUCCUUCCUUGCAUUUUGAAGAUUAGUGAAUAUCCCUUCAAGGUCAUUAACACAAUUCUUUUCUUUUUCCUUCAAAACCUAAUGAGAAGUAGAUUGAUAUUUACUCUUCAAACCCUUUGGCAUUGAUCCGUCUCUUUUCUUCCACCAAAAUUAUCUUAGCAGCAACUGAAAAAAAAAGAAAUCACAAUGAAGCACCAACCCUAUAUAUAAAGUCCGUUCAGAUUGCAAAACAGAAUCUACCCAAAAGGAAAAAAAUCAUAUGGGCUUUCGAAACAAAUACAUUUCUAAUGCUACCAUUGAAUAUUCAUCCACUCCCUCUUACUCAGUUCAAAAAAUAGGAGACUGAAUUGGAAACAAGUAAAAUUGUAACCAUUAUAACGAUCAUAAAAUGAUCACAAAAUUUCACCUAAGCUAAUCCAUCCUUACCUAGGUCUCUAUUUAAAAUUUCGGCAAAAUCUUAAACAUGUUUUUCUAUCAUGUACUAAUUCACCGUGAUCUCUGUGUGCCAUCAUCAAAGAUUCGACUCUCAGUAAGCGGUCUUUUGAUUCAACCCUAAUUCACGUAUUAAAAAGGAAGAAAAACAGAAAUAAACAAAGAAUAGUUACCCACCAAAUUGCUGAAUAUUUGAGUCGAAAAUCAGAGGAAAGUUUGGAGGAAGAAGAUUAGGGGGUUUAGUUUUUUCCUUAGAGAAGUAACAAGUGUAGCUUUGGCUCUUUGUUCAGAUCUUUUCAGUUCACACCGGAGGAGCGACGAACGACAUCCGAGAAGCGAUGAUAUGCACCGAAGUAGAAGGAGAAGAAAGCGAAUGUGUGUGUGUGUGUUUUUUUUUUUUUUUUUUGCGUUUUGUUUCUGCGUUGAGGAGAAGGAAUGGAAGGUAAAAUGAAUUAAGGGUAAUUUAGACAAUUCACACAUAAUUUGUCCUAGAAAUCAACUUUUUAAAAAUCAAUCUCAUAAAUCUUUUAUUCCUCCAUUUUUGGCUUAUUUUUGUUAAUUUCCCCUAUAACUUAUAGCUUCAUUUAUUUGUUUAUUUAUGUUUUCAAAUAUUAUCUAUAAUAUAUUACAUUCCAUUUCAUAUUUAGAUAUCUAUCACUCAAACUUUAAGAUACUGUAUUUUUUAAAAAUUGAUAUGUUUUGAUCUUUAUUUUUAAAAACAUAAAAUUAAUCAUUUAACGCUAACGUCGAUUGAGAAUGAUAUUUUAGAAAGAGUUGACUAUAAAGAGUGAUGACUCACUCUUUUUAUUCACAUUUUAUUAGUUUCGUUUUCUUUUGUUAGUUAUUAUAAUUAUAAGAAACACCUGUAGACUAAUUUUCAUAUAUUACCAUUUUUCUUUAAGAAAAAAGUCCUAAGUUACUUGGUGGGUUGGUUGGAAUCUCUAACAAGAGAGACGACAAAUUUCCAUCCUUUUUUUCUCGUUCCCCCAUAAAUGAUAACUUUAUCAAGGCCUCCAUUAAUGUCAAGUUUAACAACUUCUACACUCUUUUAACUAGUGAUCUCUUCAACACAAUAACUUUAUUCAUUGUGAUGAUAUUUUUGGAAAACUUUUGAUUUAAAGGCAUCAAUCAAUGUGGAAAAAUAUUAGACCAAGAGUGAAUGAUCUAUCUUAGCUUCGUGAUUGAUCUAUCUUAGCUUCGUGAUGCGUAAGUCAUGAUCAAGGGUUAAAGAUGAAGUCAUUGAACAAGAAGUGUACGUAGAGGAAUCCAUAGCUUACAUUUAGUAUAGAAAAUCCGAGAAAUAAAACACACAAGAGAUAGUUUAAACUAACAAUUAAAAACAAACAGUGCCAAUAUGGAUCAUGCACAAGGUGUACCAAAUUGAAAGGAGCAGAGAGAUAACUAAAUUCCUUCAACAAAAUGACAAAUGUGUAGAUAAACUUAACUACUUUAAACAAACGAUUGCUUAUGAAACGGACCUUAGUUUAUUUUACAUUCAAUUAGAUACUUUCAGAAGGAAAAUUCAUUCCAUAUACUUGACAAAUAGCAAAAAGCAAUUAUCGGAACCAUUAAGAGCAACAAAUGAAAAACAAAACGCCAAAUUCAGAUGGGGAAGAAGGAAGUCCAUAAAUAAACAGUUUGAUCUGGCAAACAGUCUUGAAACAACAGUUGAAAACACACAAAGAAAGGUGGACAAGGGAAAAUACAAGGACUUUGACAAUUUACACCUAAACAAAUUAAACUUAAAAAUCAUUUUGAUACAGGAGAGACUAUAUUAUUCUAGUCAGUUUCCUGCCCCAGAUCAAAAACACAGUUUUGUAAGGGAAAAUUUAUUUGCGAAAUUUACUUCGCACCUAAGGUUGGGAACUGCCCAGGGUCUCCAAUGGAUGGGGCUGCAACAUUGCUCAUCGGGCUGCCACUGUAUCCUCCCCUUGAACCACGUCCACGACCCCUUCCUCGGCCACCAGGGGCGUAGUGACGCUCUCCGUCCGCAGGCCUCAAAAACUCGUUGAUACUCAAAGACUAAGUGAAGAAGAAAAACAUCAGUCAUUUAACCUUUUACAGGGUCUAGAACGGCCAAAACAAUGUUGUAUGGCAAGCAAAAUAAAAACUCCUUUAUGCUGAUAUGAGCCUAAUUAGAAGUUAGAACCAAAGCUUUGUAUAAGAAAAUAUUUGGAAGCAAAUUCUAUCAUUUGGAAUAAAGACUACUUUAACGCAUUAAAUUCAUUUUUUUGGAAGUCUACUAUAAUCAAAUUGAUGGAUGAUUUCAUUGCAAUCAUUUUGCCAAAUAAAACUCAUCAAAGCACAAUUUAAAAUAACCUUAGUUUCCUCUAAUAAUGGUUCUAAAAAUUGAGUAAUAUUAUCAUAUUCAAUUUCUUCCGGUCAGUCUCAGCAUGGGCUCACAAAGUAUGCCGUCACCUCUACCUACGUUAAUAGGUCAUCAGUGCAAAUUUCAACCACUGAUAUAAUAUUCUUAAAAGAAAAAGUAAUUCAAUUAAAUUUCUUAAGGUAGGUUCGGAAUAAACCAAAUAAAGAGCAUCCUAUGUGCUGGCGGACAUCAACAUUUUCAAAAUGUAAGGCUCAUGCCUCAAGGAUAGAAGGUUUCUGAAGUUAGAGUAGCCUUUAUUUAUUUUGAACAAGAGGCACGCUCCUCCAUGGUUACACUAUUGAAACGUGGAAAGCAUAUGCUUCAUACAUAAUUGACUUCGGAGAAAAUUUUAGUACUAGUGUCAGGUUGUGGGUCUGUUUAAUGGGAUGAGUGCCGAAAAGACAACAUUUAUUUGUCACUAAAACAAACAACUUGCACAUUAUCUGAAGUAUAAAACUCAAUAAUUUAUGCCUGAAAAGUAACAGGUCACACUAAAAGACAGCCAUAAUUUUGUCUUCCUUUGUAGGUGGGAAAGGUGUUUGGGGCGCUAAGAGACGAGACAACCUAAAAGGUCUGUUCUUUCUCUCGAUUUUUUUUUCCUUUCCUCGUUUACCAUUUCAUUUUUGUCUCUUUUUCUUUGUUCAUUCAAUUCAUCAAAACAACUUUGGAAAAAAUAUAGGCUCGUAGGGUCUAGAGUCUAGAGUCGCAUUGUUUAUCUUCUUGGGGCAAGGCAAAAUUUUAGUCUUUCCAGUUUCGUUUCUCCAUUAUGAGAAUGAUCUUAGAUGAAUAAUAACUCGUGAAAACUAAUGUAUAUUGAUCGGAAAUUGAGAUUUUUCAUUUUAUCUUUUACUAUGUGUUGUGUGUUAUGCAUUAAUUGUUAUGUUCAAAAUGAGAUUUAUGGCUAAAUACUUGCCCUUGCGUCACUAAGGAAAACAAAAGCUGGUGGCUGCCCUAAGACUUUUAAAAUUUUGCCAGGCGUAGGGUAAAACCCGAGUAAACAAUUUAAAAGUCAGAAAUAUUUAAAGAAGAUGAGAUAAUAAUACCUUCUUAGUUCUCUCCUCUUUAUCUGCCAUUUCUUUUCGCUUAUCCUUUUCAGAUCCCUACAAGUGGGGUAACAAAUGAGAUAAAACUGUCAAGUCCUCAUUUAAUGCAAGGCCAAGGGUCAUCAGAUCCCAUAGGGGAUAUAUCAACAGCGAAAGAGUGUUAAGUAGGUGUACCAAUUUAAUAAAUAUGUCAUUGUUGUCCUUCUUGCUUGAAAGUUGUUGCAUGGAUGCAAAUUCUUUAGGAUCCACCUUCCUCUCCUCAGUUUUUAGAGCUAGAAGGGCCUUCCUUUUAUCCUCAAGCAACUUUUCAUACUCCUCCAGAGUCAUUUCCUGCAUCGAAAAAAAAAGAGUACAUUAGAUUCAAAAUCAAGUCAAACAGUACAAAAGACUUCGCAACCCAAGCCCAUCAGAUUGAUAUACGCAUUCAAAUUUACAACUGCUACACGUAUCAAAUUUAUGCUACUAGAAGUGAAGUAAUAAAGCCUGUUCAACUUGACAUGCAAGCAAAACUACAAGUCGCUUUUCAGCCAGAAGAAAAUCAAAACAAGUGAGAUAGUAGGUCCCACAUUUAUGGGAAGUUUACUAAAAUCUGAAGAUACUAACCUUGUCUUCUGGUUCGGUUUCCUGUGGUUCUUUAGCAGGGUUCUCCGUGUUCACACCUGAUGUAUCAUCCUCUUGAAUAGGCUUUUCGUCACCCACAUUCUUUUCAGUUUCAUUAACGGUUUCCCCUGCUACCCUAAAUAUAAAACAGAAAUUUUAGGCAUAACUAGUUGUCAAGGAGAGAACAAUCUUAUUAGCAUACAAGAGAUAAUAACAUGAGCAUAAAAAUGCAACCCUCUCCCUGAAAAGAAAAAUGAAGUUAGCCAAGCUCCCCGUAUACGAUGUGGUUGAGAGCAUCUUCCACAUAUUGAGAAAGGAAUGCCUGACUAUAUAAAUUUGUCUUUCAAGCCAACCUGGCAGCUUCUAUGAGAAGGAUUGAGAAGAAGGCUCAUGUACGCACAAUUACACAUAAUACCUGGAAAAAGACAUGCAUGAAGAUUGAAGGUAUACACAUGUACUUACUCAGCAAAUUCGUCGGUUGACCUUCCCCAAUUUCCACGACCAGACCCUUCUCGUUUAAAUUCAUUUCUAGGCAUAAAAUCAGGAAUAAAGCGUCAAAACAGUGUAGAAUAUACAGCAGGAGUGUGCACAAUAAAAUUUAAAAGAACAGACAAUAGACACUUACCCACGACCAGUUCCACUGUGGCGUUCAAAUGCUCUACGAGGGCGUUCCCCUUCAGCACCUUCUCCAUCAUUGAAACCACCUCGACGGCCACCACGACCACGAGGCCCACCAUAUCCACGUCUUUCAGAUGUCUUACCACCCACUCCAUCUUCAGGUGCAUUAAUGUUCUCAUUAUUGGUAGAGUCUCGAUUAAACCCACCACCCUCGCGACCUCGCCCAUACCCAUAUCCCCGUCCUCCACCUCGUCCACUGCCACGACCUCCA
Molecule: long non-coding RNA, 11285 nt
Filed under: Cucumis sativus (cucumber)
Lineage: Eukaryota; Viridiplantae; Streptophyta; Magnoliopsida; Cucurbitales; Cucurbitaceae
Description: long non-coding RNA (CSAT_LNC002238)
Source: RNAcentral